This is a long non-coding RNA of Brassica napus (rape), 3609 nucleotides long. RefSeq lists it as uncharacterized. The record is from RefSeq and is a predicted model, not a curated record. NCBI's taxonomy places the organism in Eukaryota, Viridiplantae, Streptophyta, Magnoliopsida, Brassicales, Brassicaceae. The transcript has 3 exons.
AAUUUGAAUUAUUAUUUUUGAAAUGUUUUUUUAAAAAAAUUUGAAAGUGCUUUUUAAAACUAUUUUUACAAUUUUUAUUUUAAAUUUUUAAUAUUUUUUUCUAUUUUUUUAAGUUGUGAAUUGUAUCAUGUUAAAGUUGUGAUUUGUAUAUUAUUUCAUUCUUCAAUUUGAGUUUUUGUGUGUGAGUGUAUUUUAUUACAUUGAUUUCAAAAAUCUUAUGGCUAUAGAUGAUAUUCUCAAAGUUGAGCACUAUGAGUAAAAACAAAGAAAAUUUACAUCCCAAUAACAAUAGAUUUUAAUAGAAUCUUAAAAUCAACGAAAACUAAACUUUUCCAAUAACAAAGGAUUUUGAGUGAAAUUUAAAAAUCAUCACCCCAAUAACAAUGGAUUCUAUUUAGAUUUUAAAAAUUCACAAACCAAUAACAACGGAAUCUCAAAAUUUAAUAAUUCCUCUAAAAUUCUUUGCCCAAUAACCCCCCUAAAAUCUUUCCACAAGAGAUUUUUCUCCAUGUGUCAACUUUCAAUUGCUCAAAUUAUUUUAAAAAUAAAUAAAUAUAAUUAUAAAGUUAAACCAUAAUAUUUUAGUUUUGUUGAGAGAUUCUAAUAUCAUACAACAGUACUGAUGCUCUUAAAUGUAAUUCUAAGAACAUCAUCAGUGCUUUAAACACGAGUCUCUUCUUACAAAAGAAAAGAAUAAAAAAUAAAUAGUAGGCGAGAGUUACAUAAAAAAAAAAUUUGAACAUUGGUGAGUUUUUCUAAGUGGUUUUCUCAACAUUUAAUAUUAAUAUUUUAAGACAGUUUAAUUAUGUGAUUAAAAUUUAAUGGUGAAAACAGAAAUCUUGCAAUCAAGACGUGAGAGUAUUUUCACCAUUUCUUGAAGGUUUCUCUUUUUUUUUUCAAGUUCUUGAAGGUUUCAAAUGAGAGAUUUAUGUGAAUUUUUCAACUUUUUAUGUUUCUCUCUCAUACUAUAUUAUUUUAUUAUUUUGUGAAUAUUUUUUGAAAAACUACCAAUAUAAAUGCUCUAACGUAUUUUUAUUAGUAAACUCUUCUAUAUAGUGUCACUUGUCCUUCUCCUAAUCACAAUCUUAUAUUAAACCUUAAAUUUUAAUAACUCGUUUAAAUAUUUUUUUUUUUGGAACGCAACUUUCAUUAAAACAUAGAGUUAGGUGGUUGAACCACCAGAUACAAGGUUGAUAAUCAUGCUCUAACAAACUCAUUGAUUCAAGUCUGAUUUGUGAAACAACUUCAAACAUGCAUAUCAAAGAUGUUGUAUUGGACCAACCUUGUCCCAUAACCAUGCUAACAUCAGGUCUUUUGGAUCUGAUGGCUAAUACAUGGUCUUAAAGCCAUGAAUGGUAUUGGGGAAGAAACAUUUAUCUUUAGCCUCUAAAUUUAAGAGUAUAUAUAUAUAUAUCACACGGGUCUCAAAUUAAUAAAAGCCAAAUUUUAUUAAAUUUUUAACUAUAUUGUCCAUAACCUCUAAAAUCUCAUGAUUGGUUUUACUUAGAGCAUUUCCUAGGUGAAUGAGAGACUAAUUUCAUACGCAUACUGAAAUACUCACAAAUAGGCCUCGGUAUAAAAUUUGAAACCUGAAAUCUAAACCAAAUCUGACCCGUCCUAAAUAUAAAAAUAUUCGAACGAAACUUGUAGGGUGAUACAAAAUAUAUCGGAACCUGAAGUGUUAUUAACCGAACGGGUAACCCAAAAAAUAAAAAAAAUCAUAGUUAAUAUAAAUAUUUGAAAUAUAUAUAAGUAUUUAAAAUACUCAAUUCAAUGUUUAUGUUGAUAUGACAUAUAAAAUAAAUAUUAAAAUUUAAAUAAAUACCUUAAAUAUCCAAUUAUAAAUAAGAAUUUCAUAAUUUGGUAAUACACAUUAUUACAAAUGAUGUUUGUUUUUAUGUUUGAUUUAACAUUUUGUUGUUAUUUUAUUAGUUUUAUGUGUGUUAGAUUAAUUUCUAUUAAAUUUAAGUAUUUUUAUGUUUUAUUUUAAAAAAAAUUUCUUCAAAUAUAUCCGAGCCGAAAUGAUAUAACACAAAUUUGAAUGAUAUAAAGUUACUUUAUGGAUUGUAGGACGCAAUACAAAUUUGAACCGAAUCCGAAUUGUUAUUAUUUAAACCGACUCAUAUUAAUAAAAUAUUAGAAUGAGACUUAGGAGAGUAUAUCCAAAAACCCUAAAAAUCUAAAAAAUCUGAUCCGACUCCGAAUGGGUACCCGAAUGCUGAUGCCUACUCACACAACUGAAUAUUUGUCUUUUGUUUUUAUAUGAGGAAUUCGAAGUGAGAACGAAGUUUUCAUUUCUCAUAAAAUAAUAUAAUAACAAUAGUUAAUUGUGAGUCUUUUUGAAUAGUUGAAAAGCUCACAAAAUUUCUUGUUUUGAGCACAAUUAAAUUAGUGAUAUUUGCGAGGAGGGUGCCUUUUUUUUUUUUUUAAACUACACAUCUGGCCUAACCCUUACUAAAUUAGUGGAUGCAUGCAGUGUGGUGGACAGGAGAAUGCAAACGAUCUCGUGAGGCAGCCCUUCUACAAGUUCCUCCAGCGAACCAUACUUUUGCAUGAGAUGGCUUUUGCCCUUCUCCUCUAUAUUUGUGGACGCAUGCCCUUCCUCGUCUGGGGAAUUGGUGUGGUAAAUGUGGCUCGAUACCACGGGACUUUUCUGGUGAACUCAGUUUGCCAUACAUGGGGAACACGAGCUUGGAACACACCUGACCUCUCCAAAAACAAUUUGUGGGUAGCGGCUAUAACAUUUGGUGAAGGAUGGCAUAACAAUCAUCAUGCAUUCGAGUUCUCGGCUAGGCAUGGACUCGAGUGGUGGCAGCUCGACUUUACUUGGUAUCUUAUUAAGUUUCUUGAAGCUAUUGGCUUGGCCACGAACGUUAAGUUACCUUUUGAAGCUAAAAAGAAGACAAUGGCUUGUAACUAGUUGUAUUAUCGAUGUUCUGUCCUAUAUGUAUGAAUAAUAAAGUCAAGUGAACGAGCCCGUGGUUUGUUAGAUAGGAUAUAUUUAAGUGUGUGUGGUGUUGUAUUAAUAAAGAACACAAGCUUCAGACGUGAACUCUACUUUUUUUGUCAAGGCUGUUGGUUUUCUCUAUUAUAUACACAUAUGGUAUUUCACAACAACAAAGUUUCUCAAGGCUGUUGGUUUGGUCACUAAUGUUAACAAUACCAAUGAAGCCUAAAAGAAGAAAAUGGCUUUGGUCUGAUCCUUUAUAACGGCUAAUUCCUUGCAUAAAUUACCUUCUAAGAUUUUAAUAAUUAUCUUUGAUUCUGCUCCUCCAAUUUCGAAUAAAUCCCUAGUUCUUUUCAACAAAUAAGAGCUUUGUCAUUAGCAUGCCUCCAAGAAAACUAACAUUUCCAGCAUUUUUGAAUUGCUAAUCAACUCUUUAUCUACAAACCAAAUCUAAAAAAGAUACUGUUGGGAAAGAAACUAAAUCUCAAAAUAAACCAUUUUAAAAAUAAAAGCGCACUAGACUUAAUGGAAGACACUACUGCUUGCUUCACCUUUCACCUACUAUGAAUGUGAGAAUAUAUAAACCUACAAUCGCAGAGCUCUCCUCUCAAAGUAUAUAAAUAAUAACUUGGGAGGCUGCAUCAUGGUGGUGCAGAUCUUUG